UUCUCUAUUUUUGAUGUGCAAUGAAAUUCUCUUAAUCUGAAAGUGAUCUCUCUUUUAAACCCCACUCCUCUUCCUUCCAAAUUGAUUCUCUAGCCUUAAAUAGUCUUGGAGAUGGCUGGAGAAGUUUUGGCUAUUGGAAGGGUUGAUCUAGCCAUUAGACAUAAAAACUAAUCAUUAGAAUCAAAUCUAUAGAACUAGCC
RNAcentral lists this long non-coding RNA (200 nucleotides) under Elaeis guineensis (African oil palm). RNAcentral describes it as "long non-coding RNA (EGUI_LNC081316)". Lineage: Eukaryota; Viridiplantae; Streptophyta; Magnoliopsida; Arecales; Arecaceae. The record is from RNAcentral.